UCACUUCAUAUAUUAUUUCCAAUCAUGUUAUCAUGGAAAAUAAUUAAUAAAAAUAUUUCUGCUUACAGAAAUUAAUUACCAUAAAAUAUAAUUUGUAGUAAUUAAUAAUUCCAAAAUUAUUUCUAAUUUUUAAAGAAAUAAAUAUAUUCGUAUUUAUCGUUCACUUAUUCUCGUCAUUAAAUAAAAAAAAAUUAUACGCAAAUUUUCUUAUUUAUUUUAUUUAGGAAAUCUCGGGUUAUUACAUUCACCCUCCCUUAUAAGGAUUCCGUCCCUGGAAUCACCGCUUUAAAACUCAUACACAUAAGAGUACAUAACGCAUAUAAUCAUUGCACAUAGACCUCGAUCAAUACUUGAUCGAACUGAUCUUUAACUAUUCUCCAUAACGAUUGUCUUUCUGAUAAACAGAAUUUUGAUCAAGAAAACCAAAAUUCCUCCUUCAAAAUUUCUU
RNAcentral lists this long non-coding RNA (448 nucleotides) under Panax ginseng (ginseng). Its description in RNAcentral is "long non-coding RNA (PGIN_LNC007020)". The record is from RNAcentral. Lineage: Eukaryota; Viridiplantae; Streptophyta; Magnoliopsida; Apiales; Araliaceae.